This 446-nucleotide ribosomal RNA is filed under the name uncultured bacterium. RNAcentral describes it as "partial 16S ribosomal RNA". It matches the Rfam family "Bacterial small subunit ribosomal RNA", at positions 330 to 793 of the family's 1533-position model. The record is from RNAcentral.
CCCAGACUCCUACGGGAGGCAGCAGUGGGGAAUAUUGCACAAUGGGGGGAACCCUGAUGCAGCGACGCCGCGUGGGUGAAGGAGUACUUCGGUACGUAAAGCCCUAUCAGCAGGAAAGAAAAUGACGGUACCUGACUAAGAAGCCCCGGCUAACUACGUGCCAGCAGCCGCGGUAAUACGUAGGGGGCAAGCGUUAUCCGGAUUUACUGGGUGUAAAGGGAGCGUAGACGGCAGUGCAAGUCCGGAGUGAAAGCCCGGGGCUCAACCCUGGGACUGCUCUGGAAACUGUAAAGCUGGAGUGCGGGAGGGGCAGGCGGAAUUCCUGGUGUAGCGGUGAAAUGCGUAGAUAUCAGGAGGAACACCGGCGGCGAAGGCGGCCUGCUGGACCGUAACUGACGUUGAGGCUCGAAAGCGUGGGGAGCAAACAGGAUUAGAUACCCGCGUAA